This 131-nucleotide small nucleolar RNA is filed under the name Dasypus novemcinctus (nine-banded armadillo). RNAcentral describes it as "Small nucleolar RNA SNORA44 (ENSDNOG00000026993.1)". It matches the Rfam family "Small nucleolar RNA SNORA44". From Rfam's summary of the family: ACA44 is a member of the H/ACA class of snoRNA that guide the sites of modification of uridines to pseudouridines. The record is from RNAcentral. Lineage: Eukaryota; Metazoa; Chordata; Mammalia; Cingulata; Dasypodidae.
UGGCAUGUUCCCAAGGUAUCUUGUUGCUUGUGGCAAAAGGACCUCCAACUGUAUGCAAGAGCAACCUGGAGAGACUAUGACAGCCCAGGUCAGCAGAGGACCUGCAGCUGCCACUUAACUUUCCUAUAAUG